AGCGUGAUGCAGGGAGAGACUGUCGCGGCGCCCGCCGCCGGACAGCGCCGAAGGAGCAACCGCCCCGGAAACUCUCAGGCAAAAGGACCGGCAUCACCCG
This 100-nucleotide non-coding RNA is filed under the name Cupriavidus taiwanensis. RNAcentral's name for it is "Glycine". It matches the Rfam family "Glycine riboswitch aptamer". From Rfam's summary of the family: This family represents the bacterial glycine riboswitch. Glycine riboswitches usually consist of two metabolite-binding aptamers domains with similar structures in tandem. The record is from RNAcentral. Lineage: Bacteria; Pseudomonadati; Pseudomonadota; Betaproteobacteria; Burkholderiales; Burkholderiaceae.